AACCUUAUUUAUUUAUCAUUAAUAUCUGCAUAAAGAUUGCCUUUCUAUUAAGUAUUUCCAAUCUAAUGCAUAAUCUCAGAUGUGACAAUAUAAAAUAUUAUUGAUCAUUAAAAAGACUUUAUAUACAGUGCACUGAUACCUCCUUAGCUGUUCUAACAAGGCUGCUCUUUGUUAGUCUGUCAGUUUUAGGUAAUAUAUCACAUGGUCUUACCAAAUCUAUGUCCAUGUUUCUAACACUUGAUUAAUGCAAUUUGGAUAAUAUGGUUGACAAAGAUUCAGCUUCUGCCAUUCUCUUAAUUGUCUGACUGCUGAUUCUGUAUCUCCAAAGCUACAGUUUUAUUAUUGUUGUUUUGUUUUACUUUGCUUUUUUACCUAUUUACCUCUGAUAUGGUUUGCCUGUGUCCCUACCCAAAUCUCGUCUUGAAUUGUACCUCCAAUAAUUCCCACAUCUUGUGGGAGGGACCCAGUAGGAGACAAUUGAAUAAUGGAAGCGAUUUCCCCCCAUACUGUUCUCAUGGUCGUGAAUAAGUCUCAUGAGAUUUGAUGUUUUACAAGGGGUUUCCCCUUUUGCUAGGCUCUCUCUCUUGCCCACUACCAUGUAACAAGUCCCUUCGCUCUCUUUUCAUCUUCUGUCAUGAUUGUGAGGCUUCCCUCGCCAUAUGGAACUGAGUCAAUUAAACCUCUUUGCUUUAUAAAUUACCCGGUCUUGGGUAUGCCUUUAUUAGCAGCAUGAAAACAGACUAAUACCUCUUAAUGCAAGUAUUUUCUAGUUUGAUUACCUUAUCUUGAAUAUCUCCAUGUAAAAUAAUCUCAUGAUUUAAUUUUUAUCUUUUUUUUUUUUUUUUUUUUUGAGGUGGAAUCUCACUCUGUCACCUGGGCUGGAGUGCCGUGGCACAAUCUUGGCUCACUGCAACUUCUGCCUCUGCAGUUCAAGUGAUUCUCCUGCCUCAGCCACCUGAGUAACUGGGAUUGCAGGAAUGCACCACCAUACCCAACUAAAUUUUUUGUAUUUUUAGUGGAGAUGGGGUUUCACCAUGUUCACCAGGCUGGUCUCAAACUCCUGGCUUCAAGUGAUCUGCCCUCUUAAGCCCCUCAAAGUACUGGGGUUACAGGAGUGAGCCACCAUGUCUGACCCUAAUUAUUCUUUACAUGUGUCACCGCCACUCCUGAAAGUUUCUAGGGGCUGCAAGAUAAAGUGUCCUACGUGUUAUGGAAAACUCAUUCCUGCCCAUUCCUGCAUUGUAUAGGCUACUAAAUUUGAUCUUAUUUCUUUCUACUAGAACUUUACAAUUCUUUAUGUUUUUUAUUUUAUUUUGUACAUCAUCACAAAUACUUCACUGACACCUCAGUUUGUGUUUGCCUUCAGAUAAUUUCUAUAUAAAUGGAGCUUGUGCAAAUAUGUGUAUUUUACACUUUUCUAACUAUAAUUUACAUUUUAGGAUUCCAUAUGCCAUAUUUCAUUCACAUUUUUUUUAACUUUUAAGUUCAGGGGUAUAUGUGCAGGUUUGUUACAUAGGCAAACGUGUCAAAGGGGUUUGAUGUACAAAUUAUUUCAUCGCCCAGGUAUUAAGCCUAGUGUCCAUUAGUUAUUUUUCCCAAUUAUCUCCCUUCUGCCACCCUCUACCAUAUGAAAGUUCCCAGUGUCUGUUAUUACCCUCUAUGUGUCUAUGUUUUCUUAUCAUUUAGCUCCCAGGUAUAAGUAAGAACAUGUGGUAUUUGGUUUUCUGUUCCUGUGUUACUUUGCUAAGGAUUAUGCCUCCAGCUCCAUCCAUGUCCCUGAAAAGGACAUAUUCCCAUUCUUUUUUACGACGCAUAGUAUUCCGUGGUGUUUAUGUACCACAUUUUCUUUAUCCAGAGUAUCACUGAUGAGCAUUUGGGUUGAUUCCAUGUCUUUGCUGUUGUGAAUAGUGCUGCAAUGAACAUACACAUGCAUGUGUCUUUAUAACAGAACAAUUUACGUUUCUUUGGCUGUAUCCCUAGUAAUGGGACUUCUGGGUCAAAUGGUAUUUCUGCUUUUACAUCUUUGAGAAAUUGCCACAUUGUCUUCCAUAAUAGUUGAACUGAUUUACACUCCCACCAGCAGUGAAAAGUGUUCAUUUUUCUCCACAACCAUGACAGCAUCUGUAACUUUUUGGCUUUUUAAUACUAUUCAUCUGGCUGGUGUGGGAUGGUAUUUCAUUGUGGUUUUCAUUUGUCUUUCUCUAAUGAUCAGAUAUGUUUAGCUUUUUUUCAUGAUUGCUGGUUGUAUGUAUGUCUUCUUUUGAGAAGUGUCUGUUUAUGUCCUUUGCCCACUUUUUUAAUGCGGUUGAUUUUUUCUUGUAUAUUUGUUUAAAUUCCUUAGAGAUGCUAGAUAUUAGACCUUUGUCAGAUGCAUAGUUUGCAAAAAUUUUCUUCCAUUCUGUAGGUUGUCUGUUUACUCUGUUGAUAGUUUCUUUUGCUGUGCAGAAGUUCUUUAGUUUGAUUAAAUCCCAUUUGUCAAUUUUUGCUUUUGUUGCAAUUACUUUUGGUGUUUUCAUCAUGAAACCUUUGCUCAUGCCUAUGUCCUGAAUGGUAUUGCCUAGGUGGUCUUCCAGGGUUUUUAUAGCUUUUGGUUUUACAUUUAAGUUUUUAACCCACUUUGCGUUAAUUUUUGUAGAUGGUGUAAGGAAGAGGUCCAGUUUCAAUUUUUUGCAUAUGGCUAGCCAGUCAUCCCAGCACCAUUUAUUGAAUAGGGAACCAUUUAUUGAAUAGGAAAAACUUUUCCCACUCCUUGUUUUUGUCAGAUUUGUCGAAGAUCAGAUAGUUGUAUAUAUGCAGUCUUAUUUCUGAGUUCCCUAUUCUGUUCCAUUGGUUUAAUGUGUCUGUCCUUGUGCAAGUACCAUGGUGUUUUGGUUACUGUCAUAGCCCUGUAGCAUAGUUUGAAGUUGGGUAGCGUGAUGCCUCUAGCUUCGUUCUUUUGCUUAGGAUUGCCUUGGCUAUUUGGGCUUUUAUUGUUGCAUGUGAAUUUUAAAAUAGUUUUUUUCUAGUUCAGUCUCAUUCACAGAAGUUUUAUGGUACAACAAUUUUGUACAGUACUUCUUAAAAUCCCAUUUGUAGGAAGGCAUUGAUAUGUAAGACUUACAAAUACUUACUUGUUAUGUUGUUGAUAUAAUAGUUUUUAAAGGAUGACAUAUUGAGCUCAAUAAAACAGCAGCCUUAUUCUGAAUUUGAGGAAAAAUGGAAAUAAUUAGAAUUAUUAAGUUAUUGUGCAAAUGACUUUAUUGAGACGUGAUUGUUAUACAAAAUGCUGUACAUAUUUAAUGUAUACAACUUGAGUUUGGAGACAAGUCUAUACCUGAGAAGUUAUCACAAUCCAUGCUGUAAACGUCUCCUUCACUUCCAAAAGUUUUCUUUCUCUUUAUUCAUUAUUAUUAUGUUUUGUCAUGAGAAUACUACAUAAGAAGUAUUAUUUCAUUAAAAUGUUAAAUAUAUGUUAUAGUAUUCCUAACUAGAGGCACUAGGCUGUACAGCAGAUCUCUAAGACAUUCACCUCGAUAAAGUGUCCUUUUUAAGGAAAAAAUACUGUAUUAGUCUGUCCUCACACUGCUAAUAAAGAUAUACCUGAGACUGAGUAAUUUAUAAGAAAAAAGAAGUUUAAUGGGCUCACAGUUUCACAUCACUGGGGAUACCUCACAAUCAUGGUGGAAGGUGAAGGAGGAGCAAAAACAUGCCUUACAUGGCAGCAGGCAAGAGAGCAUUUGCAGGUAAACUGCCCUUUAUAAAACCAUCAGAUCUCAUAACACAUAUUCACUAUCAUAAGAACAGAAUAGUAAAAACCUGCCCCCAUGAUUCAAUUACUUCUCACUGAGUCACUCCCAUGAAACACGGGGAUUUUGGGAGCUACAAUUCAAGAUGAGAUUUGGGUGGCCAAUCCAUAGCAAGUACCAUAUGAACUUUCUAAAAUAUAAAUUAUUACUAAUUUCAUUGCAUUCUUUUUAAUAAGUAAGAUAGUUAUCCUAUAUUUAAAACAUAAGAAUCAUAAAAAGCAAGGAACAUAUUUACAUGAAAUCCAUAUUUCUUGCUCAGUUUGUACUGCAUAUUAAUAUAUAAUAUUAGAAAUCAUAGCUAUCAUUUUAUAAAGUAGAAAUUAAUGUAAUAAGAUCAUUUAAAUUUUACAUAAGUAGAGACAUGACUCUACGAAAUUCAGAAAAUUUCCAACUCUAUUAUAAUGUAUUUUUCUCAAUGAAACAAUUUGGUAAAUAUAGAAAUAUUGUAAUAUAACAUUGUAUAGAUUAGCAGAAAUUAAGAUUUCAAGUCAUAUAAGAAAAGUACUAAUGUUUGUGAUUUGGAAAAUAUAGCGUAAACUUAUAAACCAAAAUGAAUAUAUUCAGUGCUACCUUAAUUUUUUUGGUAUUUUAUGAAUGUCUUUUUUUUAAAGUUUUGCAAAAUUGUCAUUCCAUUCAUGGAAGUAAUUUUUUUCUUAAGUAGCACUCAAGUAGCAAAAUUUAAUAUUUAUGUAUGUUAAAAAUAAGAAUGUCAGAUGUCAACAGCUGUGAUACAAUUAGAGGUUUUCUUUUUGUAAGCAAUUAACAUAUGCACAUGCACACAAAGACAACUCCUUCUAUUAAAAGCAUGCUUUCUUACUAAUAGUUAAUGGCUUACAUAACUGAAAAAAAAUUCUAAAACUCUUCUCAUUUGAAUCCUUUCUGAAGGUUAAGUUUGUUUUAUUUUAUUCAUUGUAUUUUUUGUUAACUUUCUCUCUUCUAAGGAAUAAAGCACUUAAUAUUUUUUCAAUAGAGGUCAUCAUCACGGAGCACCUCAGGAGACUUCAUGAAUUGAAGGUUAUAAGAUUAUGUUACACUUUUCAGAAUUCUAGCAGUUGAGUCAGCAAAGAGGACUGAAAGAGUUCCACUUUCAAUCCCAGAAUUUCACUCAGUUCGCCUUGUCAGAAAAUAGCAAAGACUUGGAACCAACCCAAAUGUCCAAC
RNAcentral lists this long non-coding RNA (4945 nucleotides) under Homo sapiens (human). RNAcentral's name for it is "HSALNT0205155". Lineage: Eukaryota; Metazoa; Chordata; Mammalia; Primates; Hominidae. The record is from RNAcentral.